RNAcentral lists this ribosomal RNA (252 nucleotides) under uncultured bacterium. Its description in RNAcentral is "partial 16S ribosomal RNA". It matches the Rfam family "Bacterial small subunit ribosomal RNA", at positions 524 to 776 of the family's 1533-position model. The record is from RNAcentral.
UACGGAGGAUGCGAGCGUUAUCCGGAUUUAUUGGGUUUAAAGGGUGCGUAGGCGGACUGUCAAGUCAGCGGUAAAAUACGGGGGCUCAACCUCCGCCCGCCGUUGAAACUGACGGUCUUGAGUGGGCGGGAAGUAUGCGGAAUGCGUGGUGUAGCGGUGAAAUGCAUAGAUAUCACGCAGAACUCCGAUUGCGAAGGCAGCAUACCGGCGCCCAACUGACGCUGAAGCACGAAAGCGUGGGUAUCGAACAGG